RNAcentral lists this ribosomal RNA (308 nucleotides) under uncultured Desulfuromonadales bacterium. RNAcentral describes it as "bacterial SSU rRNA". It matches the Rfam family "Bacterial small subunit ribosomal RNA", at positions 1076 to 1382 of the family's 1533-position model. Lineage: Bacteria; Pseudomonadati; Thermodesulfobacteriota; Desulfuromonadia; Desulfuromonadales. The record is from RNAcentral.
UUGGUUAAGUCCCGCACGAGCGCAACCCCUAUUGUUAGUUGCCAUCAUUCAGUUGGGCGACUCUAGCGAGACUGCCGGUAAUAAACCGGGAGGAAGGGUGGGGAUGAACGUCAAAUCAUCAUGCCCCUUAUGACCUGGGCUACACACGUGCUACAAUGGUUGGUACAACGGGGCGCAAGACCGCGAGGUGGAGCAAAUCCCAAAAAACCGGUCUCAGUUCGGAUUGGAGUCUGCAACUCGACUCCAUGAAGUUGGAAUCGCUAGUAAUCGCGUAUCAGCAUGACGCGGUGAAUACGUUCCCGGGCCUU